RNAcentral lists this non-coding RNA (29 nucleotides) under Rattus norvegicus (Norway rat). The record is from RNAcentral. Lineage: Eukaryota; Metazoa; Chordata; Mammalia; Rodentia; Muridae.
UCCUCUCAAUUUGUUCCUAUCAUUUCCUG